This 484-nucleotide ribosomal RNA is filed under the name uncultured bacterium. RNAcentral describes it as "partial 16S ribosomal RNA". It matches the Rfam family "Bacterial small subunit ribosomal RNA", at positions 28 to 506 of the family's 1533-position model. The record is from RNAcentral.
AUUGAACGCUGGCGGCAUGCUUUACACAUGCAAGUCGAACGGCAGCGCGGGCUUCGGCCUGGCGGCGAGUGGCGAACGGGUGAGUAAUGCAUCGGAACGUGCCCAGUAGUGGGGGAUAGCCCGGCGAAAGCCGGAUUAAUACCGCAUACGACCUGAGGGUGAAAGCGGGGGACCGAAAGGCCUCGCGCUAUUGGAGCGGCCGAUGUCGGAUUAGCUAGUUGGUGGGGUAAAGGCUUACCAAGGCGACGAUCCGUAGCUGGUCUGAGAGGACGACCAGCCACACUGGGACUUAGACACGGCCCCGACUCCCACGGGAGGGAGGCGUUGGGAAUUUUUGACCAUGGGGGGAACCCCUGUCCCGCCCUGGCGCCUGGGGGAAGGAGGGCUUCCGGUUUGUAAACCGUUUUUGUCCGGAAGAAAAUCCUCGGGGCUAAUCCCCCGGGGGGUUACCGUUCCCGAAGAAUUAGGCCCCGCCUACCUCCUU